AAACGUCUGAUGGUGUAAUUGUGCAAUUGCUUUGCAGUUUCUGGAUGUUCUUAGUUCACGCAACAGUUUAGGGAUUUAAUAGUCUUUGGAGAAAUCUCGAAACUUUGAUUGGCUUGGGUGGCCGAAUCUCGAACCUAUGUUGAGUAGGUUGUCGAGGCGUUGUUACUGCACUUCUGUUCAUCGACCAUGGCUGUUUCUAGGAUUGGGCAACCCCGGAGACAAAUACAAAGGGACUAGACACAACAUUGGCUUCGAGAUGAUUGAUACUUUUGCUGAGUCAGUGGGAAUUCAGAUGAACCUGGUCAA
Camelina sativa (false flax) is the source of this 306-nucleotide non-coding RNA. NCBI's taxonomy places the organism in Eukaryota, Viridiplantae, Streptophyta, Magnoliopsida, Brassicales, Brassicaceae. The record is from RefSeq and is a predicted model, not a curated record.